RNAcentral lists this ribosomal RNA (303 nucleotides) under uncultured bacterium. RNAcentral describes it as "partial 16S ribosomal RNA". It matches the Rfam family "Bacterial small subunit ribosomal RNA", at positions 507 to 809 of the family's 1533-position model. The record is from RNAcentral.
AGCAGCAGCCACGGGAAUACGAAGGGGGCUAGCGUUGUUCGGAUUUACUGGGCGUAAAGGGUGCGUAGGCGGAUUGUUAAGUCAGGGGUGAAAUCCCGAGGCUCAACCUCGGAACUGCCUUUGAUACUGGCGAUCUUGAGUCCGGGAGAGGUGAGUGGAAUUUCCGGUGUAGCGGUGAAAUGCGUAGAUAUCGGAAGGAACACCUGUGGCGAAAGCGGCUCACUGGACCAUUUCUGACGCUGAUGCACGAAAGCUAGGGGAGCAAACAGGAUUAGAGACCCCCGUAGUCCCUGUCUCUUAUAA